AUGCCUCUUACUCAUGAACUGAACAGAUAUUUCCCUCCAGUCCAUCAUUUGUUUUUUUAACCUCAUGCUGGUCUUUUUUGCGGUGGAGAAGUUUUUCUUGUUCCAUGGCCCUAUCUGUUGAGCUUUCCCAAAAUAGCUUCUAGUAAGUGUUGUGUACUCCAAGCAAUCUGUUCUCGUUAUUUUUCUAUUUUAACUGGUGCUUACUCUGAAUUUCUACUUUCAGUCUUUUGUGUUAGAGUUCCACUUUGAACCCAACGACUACUUUUCCAACUCAGUCCUGACAAAAACCUACAAGAUGAAAUCAGAACCAGAUAAGGCUGAUCCCUUUUCCUUUGAAGGUCCUGAGAUUGUGGACUGUGACGGGUGUACUAUUGACUGGAAGAAAGGAAAGAAUGUUACUGUCAAAACCAUCAAGAAAAAGCAGAAGCAUAAGGGUCGAGGCACUGUUAGAACAAUUACGAAACAAGUACCCAAUGAGUCCUUUUUCAACUUCUUCAAUCCAUUGAAAGCAUCCGGGGAUGGAGAAUCACUGGAUGAAGAUUCUGAAUUCACACUAGCCUCUGAUUUUGAAAUUGGACACUUUUUCCGAGAGCGGAUAGUCCCGCGGGCUGUGCUGUACUUCACUGGGGAGGCUAUAGAAGAUGAUGACAAUGUAUGAGGCUCGGGGAAGGGGGGCUUCCACCUGGCUGCU
This 691-nucleotide small RNA is filed under the name Pongo abelii (Sumatran orangutan). RNAcentral describes it as "retained intron". Lineage: Eukaryota; Metazoa; Chordata; Mammalia; Primates; Hominidae. The record is from RNAcentral.